AUAUAAGAAAAUUAACAACUUUAGUGUUACUACAUCCCUAUUCAAAUUGCACAUUCCCCAAAAUCAAGAAUCACACGCACCUCAAUACAAGGAAGCAAAGAAGGUUAUCCAGGCAUAUGUAUCACCAAGGAUCAGAGGUCUUAUGUAAAAGUAUCUCUGUUAGUCUUUCAGACAAUCAAUCAACAAAAUGUCAAAUAGGAAAAGCAAGGUAUGAGACGGUAAUGUUGGAAUUUAUUUGCUCAAUGACCUUUCAGUACGUUGAUAAUGGUAAUCUCCAAAGCAGCUUUGGCAUGGAUGCCAUGCACAAGCCCACGAGUAGACUCACAUCUGAGUCUUCAAAAUACAUAGGACUCAGCUACAGUGCGAAGUAUGUGGAUUUACCAAAAUGCUGGUCCGAGCUACAGUGCAAAUUAUGUCCAACAAGAAAAGGCCAUUACCCGAUGUUGGUCCCAGCCAUCUGGUGACUUAGGAGAGGUGGACUGGUUAAAAUCCUAAUAAAUGAUAUUUUUAUGCACAAAAUUACCACUCUCAAGACUCAAACCCACGUUCUCAUGCUUGACAGCCCAAGAUUUUACCACAUGUCCCCAUUUAUAUAUAACUUAUUGUUUAUUGGAUCUUUGCUGAUAAAUAUUAUUAGGAGAAAAAAGGAAAACAACUAGUUAGGGCUGCAAAUUGUAUCCAAUUGUUUGAGUUCGAAUUCAAAUUCGAUCCCAUUAAGGGCGAUCAAAUAUUAUAAUUGGAUCAAAUAUGUAUCCAUAUCCCUAUCCAAUGCUUAAAAGAAAGUAAUAUUGUAUCUUCUAGUAAUGUUGGUUUUAUUGUUGUGUAUUUACUAAAUAGUUUUAGGUUCAAGUUUCAUACAACUAAUUUUCAAUUCAAUUUGCUCAUGAAAUACAAUAUCAAAGUCGUUUUUAGUUUAAUUUAUUCUUACUAUUCAAUAUCUGAUUGCAAUCCAAAUUCAAUAUAAAUCCAAUGGAUAAGAUCCGAUUUGAAUUCAAAUAAUAAUACAUAUAGCCGUUUUGAUUUAAUCCAUUUGCAGCCCUACAACUAGUGUAGCCACAUGGCAAAUAGGCAAAAACACCAUCCAUGUACAUUGUAAUAUUAUUUAUGUGCAACAUUUGGGGGGGGGGGAGUCACCUAUUGAACUCCUCCACGUCAGAUUCUGAUUCCCAUGUCUAUGUCCAAGCAUGCGGCUUUUGAAAAUGUUGCGCCUAGAACCUAGGUGUGCCUUUUAAAUCACUGCCUCAUUGUGAGAACUUCUCUAGCAUCAAGUUGGUAUCAAAGUGUCAUUUGUACCUUUGGGAUUUAACAGUUCUCGAUUGUUGGAAUGGUUCAUUGACGUGGUCGUGGUGAUCCUCCUCUAUGUGAGUGAGACUUAUGCAAUGUUGAAAUGAACGAGUUGAGGAGGUAAUUGUAGCAACUUUAACAAAAUCUAGAGCGCUUUGAAGCCUAAAGUCAUGAUGAGUCACAUCAUGAUUCAAAGGAUAAAAAAUUUCGUGAGGAUCGAGAAGAGAUUAACCCCUUCAAUCAUGAAGUGACGAGCAAAGAGGCUUUUCCCUGUGAUGCUCGAAGGAACAAUAGCUUCUAAUGAGAUUUUGAACAUCAAGGUGGAAUUCCAGAAUUUGAAGUAAGGAUGCAACCAUAUAACUUCAUAGAGUGGCUUCACACCAUUGAAUGAGUCCUUGACUACAAAGAUGCACACAAUCAUCUCAAGGUGAAGCUUAUGGCCAUCAAAUUGAAGAAGCAUGCUUCAAUUUGGUGGGAGUACCUCAAAAACCGAUGAGCUCAUGAACGAAAGAGUCAAAUUGUAACAUGGGAAAAGAUGAGGAAAGAGACUAAGAAGAAAAAGAAAUUCCUGCAUGAGAAUUACUGCCAAUAUGCUUUUUCAAAUUUCAUAAUUGUAGGCAAAAGGAGAUGAUAGUGGAAGAAUAUAUUGCCCUCAUGAUGCAGUGUGAUGAUAGUGAGGAAAAGCACACAAUUGCUUGUUAUCUUGGUAGGUUACGAGCAGAAACAAGCAGAGUGGAAGAAUUGCAACCAUAUUGGACUUAAAAGAUGUUAUCAAGCUUGCAAUUAAAGUGGAGUGGCAACUUAAGGAGGCCUAUGGGAGGAGCUAUCAAUUUCUCGAUCAUGUUAACUCUAAGCAAGGGAGUAUCUCGGCUUCCAAGCAUAUUACAGCCAUUUUAAGAAAGAUGGUGCGGCUAAUUGUAUCCAACCAAGCUCUUCCAAUGUUAAGCAGGUUAGGUGUUUCAAAUGCUAAGGUUUUGGUCACAUUAUUGCAGAUUGUCCCAACCACAAGAUGAUCUUUCUUACUUUAGAAGAUAUAAAAGAAGAGGCCAAGAAAAAUUCACAUUCUUCUUCUAACCAAGGAGAGUUUCUUUUCAUUCAUCAAAACUUGAAUGUGGCCCGUUGUCCAUAUGGAAGAAGAAGCUUGGCUUUGAGAGUAUAUCUUCCUUAUAAGAUGCACUUUUUCAUGGCAAGGUGUGUAAUCUUAUUAUUGAUGGAGGAAGUUGUACUAAUGUAGGAGGCUAGCAGCUACAUUAUAGUGGAGAAACUGAACCUAAAGAUAGACAAACAGCAAUACUCUUACAAGCUCUCAUGGCUUUACAAAGAAAAUGAGGUAAGAGUUGAUAAAUGACACUUGAUAGAAUUUCCAUCGGAAAGAAGUAUUGUGAGGUGAUGUGUGAUGUUGCUCAUAUGGAUGCAUGUCACAUACUUCUUGGCCACGCAUGGCAAUAUGAUAGGAGGAUUCAUGAUUGGUUCAAAAAACACUUAUCCUUUUUCAAAAGAUGGAAUGAAGUCAUAUUGUGUCCGUCCAAAUUAGAGAGUAAUCCAAAGACUUCUAAAGAGAAGGUAAUUACUUACUCCUCUAAAUCUAAACUUGAAAAGAUGUUAGAAAAAACAAAUGAAGUUUAUGUUCUUUUGGUGGUGGAAGAGAAUGAACAGAAAAUUGAACCCCUCCUAUUUUAAAACCAUUCUUGAGGAAAAAUAUAGUGAUCAGGAAAAGUCCACCAGUCUUUGAUGAAGAACCCAUCACUUAAGAGGAAUCUUUUAUCAUCUAUAAUGAAUUUCAAAGUAACGGAAACAACAUUGAUCAUAUUGGAGGUUUUCACUUCUUACAAGGUUAGAAGGAUCCUUAUUGGCAAGCAUUUUCUCAAGGUUUAGAAUAACUAUUAAAAGAAGAAUUGGCUUAUUUGAAGUGCAAAAAAUAUGUUUCAAUAGUUAGAAGACAUAGUGAAGGAAUUUCAGUACAUAUCAGAGCGUUACACUAUCAUUUGCCUAUCAAAAGCUUAGUAACAAAAAAAAAUAGUGGAAGCAUGGUAGUAAGUUACUCUUAUGGUGCUGUUAAGACUUGUAGGAAAGUUUAACACCGGAGUGUCCACAUUCAUAGAAAAGGGUCAAGUUUGAAUUUGAAUACAAGGCUUGUCUGGAAAAUGUGCAGUCACAUAUUUUGGGUCCACUUCACACUUAAACCUGUGUUUUUCAAAAGGCAAACCAAGUCUCUAGAAAGCCCUAUGAGUCUACUUUCCAACACAAUAGGCAAAGCACGGUUUGGAGUUUUCCAUGAAAACUUAUGACCAUUUUACCUCCAAGGGUAGUUUUGACUAUGGGAUUCCAAAAAUGCAUUAAUUUUGCUCUUUUGAGUUUCUCUAUGUAUUUGCUAUUUUCUAAUUCUGACUUCUCUAGAACUGUUCAUGAAUCUUGUUAUUUGUGACUGUUAUUAGUUUUCUUGGCAAUUACUCAGCUCGGGGACUUUUCCAGAAAAACUUGUUCACCACCACCCAUGAGCCUAAUCUGCUCACCAUGGCACCAUGUUACUCAUCAAUUCAUCCUCCUUCAAUGGACAGCUUUUUUUCAUAACUUAUUACUUCGAUGCCCAUGGACAUCUCUUGGAGGUUUCUUUUAUCUCCUUUCAAUUCUCAUUAAACAAUCCUCAGCACCAUCAGAGACAUCAUUUCCUCUUGGCCAUAUUUUUCUACAGGUGAUUAGAAUUGGGCUAUGGAUCCAACUUCUAUUUGUUAGUGCAGUUGCAGCAAAGAAAGGAUUGUGUGCCAAUGCCAGCGGUUUAAGAAUGGACUAGCUUUAAUUCUUAACAAUUUUGGCAUUUUUCCACAGAAGGGAUUUCGUAUUUUACAGGAAUUCUGUUUUGGCUCUGAAGUGUCAUACACCGUAAAGUACACUUUGCUUUUGCUUUUUUUUUGUUUUAUUUUCAUAACUACUGAUUUCAUUUAUGUUCUUUCAGACAAUAAAAAAUAAAUGGUAUGGCAGAAUGGUUUCUAACCAGAGAAAACAUCAUGUUACAAUAUAAGGAAUUUAACAGUAGCCUACAUUUCUCUACAGAUAAAAAGUAAUGAACGUGAUUGCUUCUCCAAAAAGGUUUCAGCAGAUGCCACACAAACGCAUUCUCCAAAUUGACCACUGCCCAGCAUAUGCUACCCUAAACAUGUUUCGCAAUCCAGAAAUGCAACCAUUUUUCUUAAAAAAGAUUUAUACAAAUAUAUUCUCUCCACCAAUUUUAUGAAGGGGAAAGGCAUGAGAUGAGGCUCUCAAAGCAUUUGAUCCGUGAGGUGUAAGCAUCAAGGCAUGAGAGUUUAAUACCAUUUAGAUGUUUCAUUCUUUUAAGAAAAAAGUAACUGGAAUA
Non-coding RNA from Nelumbo nucifera (sacred lotus), 4636 nucleotides. NCBI's taxonomy places the organism in Eukaryota, Viridiplantae, Streptophyta, Magnoliopsida, Proteales, Nelumbonaceae. The record is from RefSeq and is a predicted model, not a curated record.